Molecule: long non-coding RNA, 629 nt
Organism: Folsomia candida
Lineage: Eukaryota; Metazoa; Arthropoda; Collembola; Entomobryomorpha; Isotomidae
Exons: 2
Source: RefSeq, a predicted model, not a curated record
UCACUUAUCAUAACCAAAAUUAAAGUUGGGGUUUGAUUCAUCAAGAAAAACAAUCUCCGUAAAAAGUUCAACAUUAACUUUGCAACCGUAGCCAAAUUGUAAAAUUUUAUACUUGGUAAAACUUAAAUUUCUUCAAGGAUGAAGAUAAUUAUUAUUCUGGUUACAUUUGGCUUGGCAGUUCUUUUCAGUAUUAGCCGGGCAAAUGGGAACCCGGUUCAAUCAGAAGCAGAAGUUCUUGCCAUACCUUGCAACGGUAUUAAUGGAAGCAGACAUGGCACCUGCAUCGCAUCCUUCCUCGCCUGCCUUCCGAAAAUUCCACUCAUUUCGUUCCAAUGUCCCUUGGAGCUGUCAGUCUGUUGCCCAGAUUGAAAUUGACACGGAUAAUAUUUUGGUAGUAUGAAACAGUUAUAGUGACGUUAUUUAUCCAUAGAACGUCUUAAAGAAAAACACUGAACUAUGUAAAGAGGGUAUUUAGAUUAAUUGGGGGGUAUUUAGUUUAAUAAAUCUUACAACUUCUUGCAACAUAAUUACCUGUACAGACCAUGAAUAUUGACGAUGUCUUUCGAAAUGCAUUUCAACGGAGAUGAUGGAAUAAAGCAUUUAUGAAUUCUGUAAGGCUUAUCAGAUUA